RNAcentral lists this non-coding RNA (30 nucleotides) under Mus musculus (house mouse). The record is from RNAcentral. Lineage: Eukaryota; Metazoa; Chordata; Mammalia; Rodentia; Muridae.
UGCAGCUUGCUGGUUAGCCGAACUUCCUGC